GAUGAACGCUGGCGGCGUGCCUAAUACAUGCAAGUCGAGCGAACGGACGAGAAGCUUGCUUCUCUGAUGUUAGCGGCGGACGGGUGAGCAACACGUGGAUAACCUACCUAUAAGACUGGGAUAACUUCGGGAAACCGGAGCUAAUACCGGAUGAUAUUUUGAACCGCAUGGUUCAAAAGUGAAAGACGGUCUUGCUGUCACUUAUAGAUGGAUCCGCGCUGCAUUAGCUAGUUGGUAAGGUAACGGCUUACCAAGGCAACGAUGCAUAGCCGACCUGAGAGGGUGAUCGGCCACACUGGAACUGAGACACGGUCCAGACUCCUACGGGAGGCAGCAGUAGGGAAUCUUCCGCAAUGGGCGAAAGCCUGACGGAGCAACGCCGCGUGAGUGAUGAAGGUCUUCGGAUCGUAGAACUCUGUUAUUAGGGAAGAACAUAUGUGUAAGUAACUGUGCACAUCUUGACGGUACCUAAUCAGAAAGCCACGGCUAACUACGUG
Molecule: ribosomal RNA, 497 nt
Filed under: uncultured bacterium
Lineage: Bacteria
Description: partial 16S ribosomal RNA
Rfam family: Bacterial small subunit ribosomal RNA
Source: RNAcentral